Molecule: transfer RNA, 71 nt
Filed under: Sinogastromyzon sichangensis
Lineage: Eukaryota; Metazoa; Chordata; Actinopteri; Cypriniformes; Balitoridae
Description: tRNA-His
Rfam family: tRNA
About the family: Transfer RNA (tRNA) molecules are approximately 80 nucleotides in length. Their secondary structure includes four short double-helical elements and three loops (D, anti-codon, and T loops). Further hydrogen bonds mediate the characteristic L-shaped molecular structure. tRNAs have two regions of fundamental functional importance: the anti-codon, which is responsible for specific mRNA codon recognition, and the 3' end, to which the tRNAs corresponding amino acid is attached (by aminoacyl-tRNA synthetases). tRNAs cope with the degeneracy of the genetic code in two manners: having more than one tRNA (with a specific anti-codon) for a particular amino acid; and 'wobble' base-pairing, i.e. permitting non-standard base-pairing at the 3rd anti-codon position.
Source: RNAcentral
AGUAAGUAUAGUUUAACUAAAAAUAUUAGAUUGUGAUUCUAAAGAUAGGGGUUAAAAUCCCCUUACUCACC